This 2180-nucleotide long non-coding RNA is filed under the name Gossypium barbadense (sea-island cotton). RNAcentral's name for it is "long non-coding RNA (GBAR_LNC005945)". The record is from RNAcentral. Lineage: Eukaryota; Viridiplantae; Streptophyta; Magnoliopsida; Malvales; Malvaceae.
UUUGAUCCCUUUAAAAUCUCUCGCCUUGAUUCUUUCCAUUUUAAAAUUGCCUUAAUUUUCAUUUGAGUAUCUUCAAUUUCCUUAUCAAAACCAACUUCAUUCUCAUCACCAUUAUCUUCAAAGAUUUGGAAGCGUGAUUUUCUCACUCCCUCAACUAACAGUUGAUCUUGUUUUCCUUUCAUAGUAGUCUUCCCCGAAAUAUUUGGUCUUCGUCUUUGGGCUAGAGCUUGCUUCCAAGGUCCGUAUAGAGAAACCAGAUCCUUCAUAGCACCCGCAAUUGUAAUCAUCACAAUAUCAAUAGUCAGCACCAUCGUUGGCUUUGUCAAGUCCACUUUUUUCCCAUUCCCUUGUUGUUCCAGAUAACUCUACUUAGUGUGCCCAUAGCAGCCACACUCGUAGUAGAUGACAGGUAAGCCCUUGUACUCCACAUAUUGAACAUGACCAUCAAUACCAUCAACUGUGACACCCCAAACUCAGUUGGGACGGUCCGACCCGAAUUUCGAAUGUCACAUUAGCCACCAAAGUGACUCUUCGUUAAAACACCACAAAACACACCAUUCAACCAAUCACACCACACAAUUGCAACAUGAUCCAUAUUAAAAAGAUAUCUUAUUUGCAUGCUUUUCUAUUCAAAUCAUAAAAAUAGCUCAAGAAAAAUCAAUUCCUUUGACACCUGCAAACCCACCUCGCGGCGAACUUCCAACUAGAAACCCUAGCAGCACACGGAUGACUAGCUAACACCCAGCUCGCAACCUACCCUGUGAACAUCGGUUCACAACUUACCUUGCGAACUCGUUAUUGGGCGAUUUAACACAUUUUUACUGGUAGCGUGUCUGUAUUUUUACUAGCAAAAUUUUUUGCAUAUUGUUAUUGGUGGUUUUAACCACAACGGGCUUAAGCCUAUACUAUUUUGGAGUUCAGAUGAUGAGUUCUAGGGAACCCAUGGUGUGUAGCGGAUGAAUGAGUAGGAUUAUUGCAUUGAAACAUUGAGCAUGCCAUGUUUGUAUGUUGUACUGACUUGCCAAAUUGGUUGAAUUUUAUAAAUUGAUGAAUGAUUGUUUGAUUGAUUAAAUGCUUAUUUUGUAUUGACUCACACUGGGUUUUUAAGCUCACCCCCUACUUUACUCUUUACAGACAAUUCUCAGGACUAGGCUUGGAUUCGAUAUUUAGAAGUUUCUUUAUGGAAUUUUUGGCACAUAAAUUUUUAUUAAAAUUUCUUUUCUUAUUAUUUCGAUAUUAUUCUUAUUUUUAUUUGAGACUGUAAGGUUUAUUUAAAUUUGGACUAUGGUAUGAGACAUUUUUUAACUAGAAUUUUUGCAUGCAUGAAUUUUUUACUGCACAAACGGUAAAUCUAAGCUUUUAACAAAGGAUUUUUCAAUGCAAUCAACUAAGUUUUUUUUUUAAAUGGCACGAUCAAUAUAUAAAUUGAACUUAAUAAUAGAUGGCUUAAUUAAUUGGAGUUUCAACAAUGUUUUUUUUUUCAACCACACUAAGUUUUGAAAAUUUAACGAAAAAGUGAUUUUAGAUUUGGACAUUUUUACUGGCUAAUAUAACAUUCGAAAUUCGGUCAUAACGUUUAGACCGUCUUUUAUUUGUAAUUUCAACCAUAUUUCUUCAAAAUUAAAUGAUAAGUUAAAACAAAUCAUCAAAAUUAGUUUAUAGGUCUAGUUGAUGUCAUUUAAGCUUAGAUGGAGGAAUUCUUAAUUCUCAUUGGUUGGAUGAGAUCAAACAAAUUCGAAGUAGUUGAUAAUCAAAUUAUAAUUUUUUUAAUUGACUACUGAUAUAGUUUACAAUAUGCGUAAAUGUCGAAUAUGAAAAAUCCGAACACCAGAUCUUAUUACUAUUGCAUUACAUGAGGGGGUAGCCACUUCCUUUUAUUAUUAACUUCAGUUUCAAGUUUUUUAAACUUUAAUGCUUUAAUAAGACACCAAUGAAAUCCUCUAAUCUUGAUACUAUAUAAAGCUUAGUACCAAACUCUUGAAUUUCAGACACUGAUUUAUUUCCAUACCAUCGCUCAAGAUUAACUGUUUCUAAAACAGUGCCAUUUCCAUUGAUCCUUACUCCAGUUGGCAACAAACCCGAAUCCAUUCGUGGAUCUACCCUUGAGGCCGCUAUCCAGAACUUGUUUAAUCGCGUCCUCUUAAUGUUAUCCGGGGUUGGCUGUAUGGUUGCGAUGACGG